UUGAGCCGUAUGAUUGGAAACUUUCACGUACGGUUCUUAGGGGGGAAGGAGGCAGUAAUGCCUCUGACCUACCCGGC
RNAcentral lists this non-coding RNA (77 nucleotides) under Dysgonomonas hofstadii. The record is from RNAcentral. Lineage: Bacteria; Pseudomonadati; Bacteroidota; Bacteroidia; Bacteroidales; Dysgonomonadaceae.